GAUGAACGCUAGCGGCAGGCCUAAUACAUGCAAGUCGGACGGGAUUCAGGAGCUUGCUUCUGAUGAGAGUGGCGCACGGGUGCGUAACACGUAUGUAACCUACCUUUAUCAGGGGGAUAGCCUCUCGAAAGAGAGAUUAAGCCCGCAUAAAAUCACAGCACAGCAUUGUGUAAUGAUCAAAUAUUUAUAGGAUAAACAUGGGCAUGCGGAACAUUAGCUAGAUGGCGGGGUAACGGCCCACCAUGGCGACGAUGUUUAGGGGAUCUGAGAGGAUGGCCCCCCACACUGGUACUGAGACACGGACCAGACUCCUACGGGAGGCAGCAGUAAGGAAUAUUGGUCAAUGGGCGGAAGCCUGAACCAGCCAUGCCGCGUGCAGGAAGACGGCCCUACGGGUUGUAAACUGCUUUUAUACGGGAAUAAACCCAGAUACGUGUAUCUGGCUGAAUGUACUGUAAGAAUAAGGAUCGGCUAACUCCGUG
Molecule: ribosomal RNA, 482 nt
Filed under: uncultured bacterium
Lineage: Bacteria
Description: partial 16S ribosomal RNA
Rfam family: Bacterial small subunit ribosomal RNA
Source: RNAcentral